AUUGAACGCUGGCGGCAGGCCUAACACAUGCAAGUCGAGCGGAUGAAGGGAGCUUGCUCCUGUAUUCAGCGGCGGACGGGUGAGUAAUGCCUAGGAAUCUGCCUGGUAGUGGGGGAUAACGUCCGGAAACGGGCGCUAAUACCGCAUACGUCCUGAGGGAGAAAGUGGGGGAUCUUCGGACCUCACGCUAUCAGAUGAGCCUAGGUCGGAUUAGCUAGUUGGUGGGGUAAAGGCCUACCAAGGCGACGAUCCGUAACUGGUCUGAGAGGAUGAUCAGUCACACUGGAACUGAGACACGGUCCAGACUCCUACGGGAGGCAGCAGUGGGGAAUAUUGGACAAUGGGCGAAAGCCUGAUCCAGCCAUGCCGCGUGUGUGAAGAAGGUCUUCGGAUUGUAAAGCACUUUAAGUUGGGAGGAAGGGCAGUAAGUUAAUACCUUGCUGUUUUGACGGUACCAACAGAAUAAGCACCGGCUAACUUCGUG
Molecule: ribosomal RNA, 484 nt
Filed under: uncultured bacterium
Lineage: Bacteria
Description: partial 16S ribosomal RNA
Rfam family: Bacterial small subunit ribosomal RNA
Source: RNAcentral